Molecule: ribosomal RNA, 253 nt
Filed under: uncultured bacterium
Lineage: Bacteria
Description: partial 16S ribosomal RNA
Rfam family: Bacterial small subunit ribosomal RNA
Source: RNAcentral
UACGUAGGGUGCAAGCGUUGUCCGGAAUUAUUGGGCGUAAAGAGCUCGUAGGCGGUCUGUUGCGUCGGCUGUGAAAACCCGGGGCUCAACUCCGGGCCUGCAGCCGAUACGGGCAGACUAGAGUUCGGCAGGGGAGACUGGAAUUCCUGGUGUAGCGGUGAAAUGCGCAGAUAUCGGGAGGAACACCGGUGGCGAAGGCGACGUCCUGGACCGGCAUUGACGCUGAGGCGCGAAAGCCAGGGGAGCAAACGGG